This 73-nucleotide transfer RNA is filed under the name Anaerolineae bacterium. Its description in RNAcentral is "tRNA-Phe". It matches the Rfam family "tRNA". From Rfam's summary of the family: Transfer RNA (tRNA) molecules are approximately 80 nucleotides in length. Their secondary structure includes four short double-helical elements and three loops (D, anti-codon, and T loops). Lineage: Bacteria; Bacillati; Chloroflexota; Anaerolineae. The record is from RNAcentral.
GCCACUUUAGCUCAGCAGGUAGAGCGCACGUCUGAAACACGUGAGGUGAUCGGUUCGACACCGAUAGGUGGCA